CCUACGGGUGGCUGCAGUAAGGAAUAUUGGACAAUGGACGAAAGUCUGAUCCAGCCAUGCCGCGUGAAGGAUUAAGGUCCUCUGGAUUGUAAACUUCUUUUAUAUGGGACGAAAAAAGGGCAUUCUUGCUCACUUGACAGUACCAUAUGAAUAAGCACCGGCUAACUCCGUGCCAGCAGCCGCGGUAAUACGGAGGGUGCAGGCGUUAUCCGGAUUCACUGGGUUGAAGGUGGGCGUAGAUGUCAGAGGUGAAAUCUCGGAGCUUAACUCCGAAACUGCCUUUGAUACUAUUUGUCUUGAAUAUUGUGGAGGUUUGCGGAAUAUGUCAUGUAGCGGUGAAAUGCUUAGAUAUGACAUGGAACACCUAUUGCGAAGGCAGCAGGCUACACAUAUAUUGACACUGAGGCACGAAAGCGUGGGGAUCAAACAGGAUUAGAUACCCGGGUAGUC
Molecule: ribosomal RNA, 450 nt
Filed under: uncultured bacterium
Lineage: Bacteria
Description: partial 16S ribosomal RNA
Rfam family: Bacterial small subunit ribosomal RNA
Source: RNAcentral